UACGUACUCUCUCCGUCCCAAAAUACUUGUCGAAAAAAUUAAUAAAAAUAGAUGUAUCUAGAACUAAAAUACAAAUAGAUACAUUCAUUUCUCCGACAAGUAUUUCCGGACGGAGGGAGUACUAU
Non-coding RNA from Triticum aestivum (bread wheat), 125 nucleotides. NCBI's taxonomy places the organism in Eukaryota, Viridiplantae, Streptophyta, Magnoliopsida, Poales, Poaceae. The record is from Rfam.